RNAcentral lists this long non-coding RNA (1918 nucleotides) under Junco hyemalis (dark-eyed junco). RNAcentral's name for it is "lncRNA (ENSJHYG00000006956.1)". The record is from RNAcentral. Lineage: Eukaryota; Metazoa; Chordata; Aves; Passeriformes; Passerellidae.
UCUGUGGUCCAUCCUGGGGAUUUGAGGCACUUGCUGCUCCUCUGGGCAAGGGAAAGGCUCCUGUGCUAUUCCCAAAAACAUAACACCUGGAAUUAGUGCCAUGGGAGCCCAAUCCAGUCUUUCCAGUGACUGGGGGUCACCCAGAGGGUCUUUACCAGCAUCAAAUGAAAAUGACAUCCUGGUCCAGUGCAUUUCCAGCAGGAUUGGACACUCCUGGCCAUGGUGACCAGUCCAUGAAAAUUGGACCAGUGACAAUCCAAAGAGGACUUAAGGUUGGAGACUUAAAAUCAGAAACUCCAAUUCUUUUCAGCACCUCUUGCUUAAAUGUUUCCCUGCUGGAAGAGCUCAAUUAGUAUUUUUGCUGACCAGAUUGCCAAAGGGAGGGAAAAACAAUCAGCAUUCCCUGAAUGCCUCCAUCACUUCCACAGCCAUCUGCAGCCAGUGGCCGAUGGGCAGGAGCUCAAGGGGUGGUAUUAAUUCCAUUAUUCCCAAGGUUUGAAUGAUUCUGGCAUUAUCCCAUGUCCCUGAGUGUGCCAGAAACCCCAGAGCUCCAGGAGCUGCAGCCAGCUGCAGGCAGGCGUUCUUCCUUCUCAGCUUUUUGGGAGUGUGGGUGAAGGUCCCCUUGCAAGUGAUCUUGGGCCCUGCUGGAGCCAAUUCAUGUCCCAGCCCAUAUCCUACAGGAAAACAGGCAAGUGCCCUGCUGGCCCCAGUUCCAGUCAGGAAUGUCUCAAACAACAUUGUGGGGUGUUCUUCCAGCUCUGGAAGGAAAGCUGGGAUAAGCCCAAUUCCAGGCUCCCUGUGGAACAGCACUUCAGUUUUUAGGGGCUGCAAUUGCCAGUGGGGUUUUCCCACUUUUCAGCAGACCAGGGAUCAUUCUCCAGUGUCUCCAGGAAAUUUCCAGAGCUGACCCAUUCCCAGCCUCAGAGGAUUCUGUGAGGAGAUUUCACAGCCACAAAUCAAGAUCCCAGACCCUCAGGGUUGCCCAUGAAGGCAGAGCAGUGUUGGCUACCCCAGUGAAUUUCCUCCAUGUGCACAACUUAAAAACCAUUACACCACUUCAAAAUUACCUGGAGCUGGUGCUGUAACAAUGAAAAACUGAUUUUCCAUGUCCAGAGGCAGGAGAUUGUCCUGGUCAGGCUGUGAGACCUUAAAGUGCACAUUGAUCUGGGGGCUGUGACUGGAUUCCAGCAGGGAUGGAGCCUCCUGUGUGUGCAAACCCAGCGUGGGACUGGGAAGGUUUUCACCAAGGAAAGUUCUUCCUUUCUUCCUUGGCAGCUUUUCUCUGGAAUAUUAAACAAAUAGGGAAGCCUGGUCCUUAAUCCAAUUACCACAGGGCAGCAAAUUACUGUUUCUUGUUUACCAGCUAUGAACAAAACUGGAAGCAGCGCUGAAAAUUUGGGAGCUGCUGCUUCACCACACGGUGUCAGCAACAGAGAGAAAACACAAGAUGUGUGUCCAAACACAGGGAUAAAAUGCUUUUAGUGGGACCAGGGCUAAUUCUGCCCUGGAGUGACAAAGAACUUCUCCCUCAGACCCCCAGAGACCCCUCAAAAAGCCAGAGGGAGGGAGGGAGGGAGGGAGGAAGGGAGGGAGGGAGGGAGGGCACCUGUGCCUCACCUGCUGGGAACAGCACAGGUCCUGCUGCUCCUGGGCCCUGGAAACGUGUCUGGAGCCAGGAGCUCCUUCCCAGGCUGGAGGGGCUUUCCUAAAGCAGCACCUCUGGUUCACAUCCUGCUGGCUUUCCCCUCCCUUGGGAAAGGAAGGAUUUCAUCCAGAGCCUGGAGAAGGAGGAAACAAGGAGGCCCAGCCCAUGGACGGUUCAGAUGAGCCACGGGAGGACACAGAAUCUGUGUAGGGAUUUCUGACCCAGGGGCCACAUUCCUUCAAACCCAGUGCAAACUCAUUAAAAUGAUCUUUC